Long non-coding RNA from Rhagoletis pomonella (apple maggot), 376 nucleotides. RefSeq lists it as uncharacterized. The record is from RefSeq and is a predicted model, not a curated record. Lineage: Eukaryota; Metazoa; Arthropoda; Insecta; Diptera; Tephritidae. The transcript is spliced from 2 exons.
GAUACUGCAAAACGUUCUAUGUCACUUAUUACCUCUGGUGCUUAAUUGAUCUGUUAUCUGUAUCUGAUAGCUUCUGGAAACCGUUCAUCAGCCAAAGGUAGACAGUUUGGUCACUCACUUUACAGCCGCAUUCCGGUGCACAUAAGAGACCAUCUAUAUUUCUAAUUAGUUUGACAAAACUUUUAUUACUGGAAAUAAUCAUAACGCAAAGUCUUCUCCUGAGUUUUGGUCAGUGCACGCCAGCAUGUAUCGGAAACGGACACCUUUUCAAGAACGUAAAACCGUGGGGAGGGGUGGCAUCGCCGGCUAAAAGUAGUUGUUGGAGGAAGCAAUUCCCAGCCAGAUUUAUAAUCUUGUAUUGAAUUUACAAGAACUU